UGGGGAAUAUUGCACAAUGGGCGCAAGCCUGAUGCAGCAACGCCGCGUGAACGAUGAAGGUCUUCGGAUCGUAAAGUUCUGUUGCAGGGGAAGAUAAUGACGGUACCCUGUGAGGAAGCCCCGGCUAACUACGUGCCAGCAGCCGCGGUAAUACGUAGGGGGCUAGCGUUAUCCGGAUUUACUGGGCGUAAAGGGUGCGUAGGUGGUCUUUCAAGUCGGUGGUUAAAGGCUACGGCUCAACCGUAGUUAGCCUCCGAAACUGGAAGACUUGAGUGCAGGAGAGGAAAGUGGAAUUCCCAGUGUAGCGGUGAAAUGCGUAGAUAUUGGGAGGAACACCAGUAGCGAAGGCGGCUUUCUGGACUGCAACUGAAACUGAGGCACGAAAGCGUGGGUAGCAAACAGG
This 403-nucleotide ribosomal RNA is filed under the name Verrucomicrobiota bacterium. RNAcentral describes it as "Verrucomicrobia bacterium partial 16S ribosomal RNA". It matches the Rfam family "Bacterial small subunit ribosomal RNA", at positions 355 to 776 of the family's 1533-position model. The record is from RNAcentral. Lineage: Bacteria; Pseudomonadati; Verrucomicrobiota.